RNAcentral lists this ribosomal RNA (240 nucleotides) under uncultured bacterium. Its description in RNAcentral is "partial 16S ribosomal RNA". It matches the Rfam family "Bacterial small subunit ribosomal RNA", at positions 94 to 334 of the family's 1533-position model. The record is from RNAcentral.
AGCGGCGGACGGGUGAGUAACGCGUGGGUAACCUGCCUCAUACAGGGGGAUAACAGUUAGAAAUGACUGCUAAUACCGCAUAAGACCACAGCACCGCAUGGUGCGGGGGUAAAAACUCCGGUGGUAUGAGAUGGACCCGCGUCUGAUUAGCUAGUUGGUAAGGUAACGGCUUACCAAGGCGACGAUCAGUAGCCGACCUGAGAGGGUGACCGGCCACAUUGGAACUGAGACACGGUCCAA